GGAAGGCAGAGUUAGGAGACACCAUGAAGCCGCCGCUGGAGAUAGACGCUGAGACUUUGCUGGCAGGCCACGACCUCAUGGUGAUAUACAGAUUAAUAGAAAUCAAUUAAAUUAAUAUGAUUACUGAACUUUAGCUAUGGAGAUACAUACCUGCCACUCCCGAUUAUACCUGGACAGUGAAGAUCAAGCCUGCCCCAUUCAACAUGAAAUAGUCUAAUGAUAGCACCACCCCACCCUUUCCAAUCCCUGACUGUUUAUCAGUAAUAAACAAAAGAGGAGGACUGUAAGAGCAGGUCCGGUCCCUAGGAGCUCCAGCUGCCAGGGUCUCCCCACAGAGCGCAAUGGACAAAACCAACAGCCCCAGCCCGAGACACAGGCAUCCAAGCUCCAUCCUACAGAGCAAAAAGCCCAAGCUCAGAACGUGAAAACCCGUAAUCCCUGCCCGAGACAGCUCCACCUGGAAAAUUUUGCCCCCAAGAAGCCCUGCAUAAAGCCUGCCUGCUGUGCAGUAUCUGCUGCUUCUCUCUUGUGUCUUUCCUAUUAAAUCUGUGUGAGGUUC
Arvicola amphibius (Eurasian water vole) is the source of this 559-nucleotide long non-coding RNA. RefSeq lists it as uncharacterized. Lineage: Eukaryota; Metazoa; Chordata; Mammalia; Rodentia; Cricetidae. The record is from RefSeq and is a predicted model, not a curated record. The transcript has 2 exons.